RNAcentral lists this long non-coding RNA (1176 nucleotides) under Ananas comosus (pineapple). Its description in RNAcentral is "long non-coding RNA (ACOM_LNC001408)". Lineage: Eukaryota; Viridiplantae; Streptophyta; Magnoliopsida; Poales; Bromeliaceae. The record is from RNAcentral.
AUUAUGAAUUAAUAUAAAUUAAUGUACCAUGAACUGCAAGGGAUAAUAUAUAUAUUUAUAUAUGGAGUUGGGCUGGAAUACUAUCAGUAGCAAACAUGCUUCGGUGUUAUCCAUUUGUUUUCGAUGAUGAAGCCUCCAAAUGGACGAUCGUCAAUAUUGAGCAUAAUUUAUACCACUUGAAAUAUGUAGAAAUCAAAUUUAAAUCUUUUUUACAUCAAUGGCCUAAUGAUCAAAAGGUUUCAAAUUUUAAAAUUUUAAUAAUCAAUAUGAGAUGUUUUCUCAUUUAACGGCGUAGAGAUAUUCAAAUCAAUUGAAUUUUGGUUAAUUUUUUUUUAAAACUAUUUAGAAUAAAAUCUAUACGCUUGAUCUUGAUUAAAGUCUCUUAUCAUCACUUUUUAAAAAAUAUUCAAUUUUUAUUGUUCUUUUUUGUGUCCACUUGAUAGACAAGAGAAAAAUAUCGAAAAAAUAUAAAAUUUAAUUUUAGAUGCUUUAGGUGGUAUAGAUUAUAUUCAACGGUGUCAAUCAUCGAUUUGGAGGCUCCAUUAUUGAAAAUAAAUUGUGGCAACGGAGUCUGUUUGCUACUGAUAGCAUUUCAAUUCAACUCUAUAUAUGUAGUGUAGGUCUUGUGUGCUAUUAGGAAUAUGGAGGCCUCCGUGCUCCUAAGCCAUUUUUUAUGAUGGAUCUUUCGAAUCGAUGAUCAGCUCCAUCAGACUUGAUCUAACUAAUUUGAAGCAUUUAGAAAAUAAAUUUUGUGAUUUUUUGAUAUUAUAUAUUUACCUAGCAAUCGAAAGGGUUCAAAAUUAAUAAUUUUUAAUGGUUGAUGCAUAUUGUUUGCAAGUUUAACAGUAUAGUAGUAUUCAAUAAGAUGAAAUUUUAAUAGAAAUUUUUUUGUACUAUCUAUAACAAGAUUAAUAUAUCUGAUCGAAAAUUUUAGUACUACAUCACCAUUUUUUAUGCGAUUUUUAUUUUCAACCGUCAAUUUUGAACCCUUUCGAUCGCUAGGUAAAUGAUAUCGAAAAAUCACGAAAUUUAUUUUCUAGAUACUUCAAAUAUGCUAUAUCAAAUCUAAUGAAGCCGAUCAUCGAUUCGAUAACUCCAUCAUCGAAAACGGCUUAGGAACACGGAGGCCUCCGUGCUCCUAGCUAAUAGCAUACAAAUCAAACCUACUCCAUAUAU